UAUGGAUUCACGACGGUCGGCGGCACCGGACGAGCGGCGGAGCAAAGGGAGAAGAAUAGGAGGAGUGCUAAAAGAAUAAAGGUCGUGGCUUUAGUCAUUUUUUUCUUUUCUAAGGCUCUGUUUGGUUGUUGAGUUAUUCACAAGUUUCAGAAAUGGUGUCAAUAUAUAUAUAUAUAUAUAGAGAGAGAGAGAUAUCUAGAGGGAGAUGAUAAGGUAGAAAGGAAUAGUUGUAAAAUGUGCCAGUGUGAAUCCAUAAGAGCAAAAAGGGGUGCUUUUUUAUUUAAUGCAUAUAUGUAGAGGGGAAGCAUUUAAUAUUGCAAUUAAUAUUUUUUGACGAAUAUUUAUUUAUGGAAAGAAAAUGAUGGUGGGAAAAGUAAUAGCCACGGGUGUAAAUGAGUUG
Molecule: long non-coding RNA, 400 nt
Filed under: Erythranthe guttata (spotted monkey flower)
Lineage: Eukaryota; Viridiplantae; Streptophyta; Magnoliopsida; Lamiales; Phrymaceae
Description: long non-coding RNA (EGUT_LNC000218)
Source: RNAcentral